CCCUUAGAUGCUCUGGGCCGCACGCGCGCUACACUGGUCGAUGCAACGAGUUUCUUUCCUUGGCCGACAGGCCUGGGCAAUCUUUGAACAUCGAUCGUGAUCGGGAUAGAUUCUUGUAAUUUUUGAUCUUAAACGAGGAAUUCCUAGUAAACGCAAGUCAUCAGCUUGCAUUGAUUACGUCCCUGCCCUUUGUACACACCGCCCGUCGCACCUACCGAUUGAAGAGUUAGGUGAAUUGUUUUGAUCGAUAAGAUUUGACUAUGGUCAACUCUCGUUGUGAAAUUCUGUGAAUCUGACUGUUUAGAGGAAGGAAAAGUCGUAACA
Molecule: ribosomal RNA, 324 nt
Filed under: uncultured eukaryote
Lineage: Eukaryota
Description: partial 18S ribosomal RNA
Rfam family: Eukaryotic small subunit ribosomal RNA
Source: RNAcentral